Molecule: ribosomal RNA, 484 nt
Filed under: uncultured bacterium
Lineage: Bacteria
Description: partial 16S ribosomal RNA
Rfam family: Bacterial small subunit ribosomal RNA
Source: RNAcentral
AUUGAACGCUGGCGGCAGGCCUAACACAUGCAAGUCGAGCGGAUGAAGGGAGCUUGCUCCUGGAUUCAGCGGCGGACGGGUGAGUAAUGCCUAGGAAUCUGCCUGGUAGUGGGGGAUAACGUCCGGAAACGGGCGCUAAUACCGCAUACGUCCUGAGGGGGAAAGUGGGGGAUCUUCGGACCUCACGCUAUCAGAUGAGCCUAGGUCGGAUUAGCUAGUUGGUGGGGUAAAGGCCUACCAAGGCGACGAUCCGUAACUGGUCUGAGAGGAUGAUCAGUCACACUGGAACUGAGACACGGUCCAGACUCCUACGGGAGGCAGCAGUGGGGAAUAUUGGACAAUGGGCGAAAGCCUGAUCCAGCCAUGCCGCGUGUGUGAAGAAGGUCUUCGGAUUGUAAAGCACUUUAAGUUGGGAGGAAGGGCAGUAAGUUAAUACCUUGCUGUUUUGACGUUACCAAAAGAAUAAGCACCGGCUAACUUCGUG